Long non-coding RNA from Neofelis nebulosa (Clouded leopard), 530 nucleotides. RefSeq lists it as uncharacterized. Lineage: Eukaryota; Metazoa; Chordata; Mammalia; Carnivora; Felidae. The record is from RefSeq and is a predicted model, not a curated record. The transcript has 2 exons.
UUUUUAAGCUCUUGCCCUCUUAAACUUGCAUAAGAAUUUUAGGUAUUAAUAUGUGAUUAAAAAAAUUAGGAAAAAAACAGACUGAAAUAAUGGCUAAAUUUGUUUUGCAAGGUGAGGACUGGGCGCCCCAAGAAAUUCUUAAAAAGAGAACUUCACAGUAAUCUUUAAUGGCUUGUUUAGAGUAGAAAAAUUAUGAAAUACCAGUAAAGGAACUUAAAAUUUUAAACUAAUAUUCUGCUUUUUUUCUGAGGUUCAUGUAUUUGCUAGGAUCAUAACAUUGGUAUUUAAAAAGGUUUUAAGAUUUUAAUUUUGCAUUGGGGCUGAUAAAAUAACUAUAAAAUUCUUAAGAAUUUUUAUAGAAAAUGAAGAUAGUCUUUAUCCUUUGCUAAGUCCUAUUAGGAUAUUUUGUGGAAAGGAACUUGGAGUACGUGUUAAAUAUAAUCUCUGUCCUCUAGGCAGAGGUUCUUAUGAUCUAUUAUGGGAGAUAAAAUAAAACCAAGAUACUUACAUUCGUUGAGACACACAAAUAA